This is a long non-coding RNA of Zea mays, 288 nucleotides long. RefSeq lists it as uncharacterized. The transcript is spliced from 3 exons. The record is from RefSeq and is a predicted model, not a curated record. Lineage: Eukaryota; Viridiplantae; Streptophyta; Magnoliopsida; Poales; Poaceae.
CUGCAUUGGCAGCUUUAUCUACUUUCUGGAGGCCUGAAUGCACGGUUGGUGGGGACAAUGGUCAGCAAGUUACAGUGCAUGAUCCUGAGGUUAGGGAUCCACUUCCUCUUACGAUACACCAUAUGCCCAUAGCUGUAACAUUUGCAUAUUUUGGUGAAGGUAACAUCGUGGUUCUUGAUCCCACAUACAAGGAAGAAGCAGUAAUGGGAGAGAGGAUGACUGCUAUAGUUAACUCAAAUGGGGAUGUUUGUGCCAUUCAGAAAGCUGGUGGAGAGGGUCUCAUGUCAA